AGAGUUUGAUCAUGGCUCAGGAUGAACGCUGGCGGCGUGCUUAACACAUGCAAGUCGAACGAACCUUCGGGUUAGUGGCGGACGGGUGAGUAACGCGUGGGAACCUGCCCUCAGGAGGGGGAUAACGGCUGGAAACGGCCGCUAAUACCCCAUAUGCCGAGAGGUGAAAUGAAAUUCGCCUGAGGAUGGGCCCGCGUCUGAUUAGCUAGUUGGUGGGGUAAGGGCCUACCAAGGCGACGAUCAGUAGCUGGUCUGAGAGGAUGAUCAGCCACACUGGGACUGAGACACGGCCCAGACUCCUACGGGAGGCAGCAGUGGGGAAUUUUCCGCAAUGGGCGAAAGCCUGACGGAGCAACGCCGCGUGAGGGAUGAAGGCCUCUGGGCUGUAAACCUCUUUUCUCAAGGAAGAAGACCUGACGGUACUUGAGGAAUAAGCCACGGCUAAUUCCGUGCCAGCAGCCGCGGUAAUACGGGAGUGGCAAGCGUUAUCCGGAAUUAUUGGGCGUAAAGCGUCCGCAGGCGGCCUUGUAAGUCUGUCGUUAAAGCGUGGAGCUUAACUCCAUUUAAGCGAUGGAAACUACAAGGCUUGAGUGUGGUAGGGGCAGAGGGAAUUCCCGGUGUAGCGGUGAAAUGCGUAGAUAUCGGGAAGAACACCAGUGGCGAAGGCGCUCUGCUGGGCCAUAACUGACGCUCAUGGACGAAAGCCAGGGGAGCGAAAGGGAUUAGAUACCCCUGUAGUCCUGGCCGUAAACGAUGAACACUAGGUGUCGGGGGAAUCGACCCCCUCGGUGUCGUAGCCAACGCGUUAAGUGUUCCGCCUGGGGAGUACGCACGCAAGUGUGAAACUCAAAGGAAUUGACGGGGGCCCGCACAAGCGGUGGAGUAUGUGGUUUAAUUCGAUGCAACGCGAAGAACCUUACCAGGGUUUGACAUCCUGCGAACCCCUGAGAAAUCGGGGGGUGCCUUCGGGAACGCAGAGACAGGUGGUGCAUGGCUGUCGUCAGCUCGUGUCGUGAGAUGUUGGGUUAAGUCCCGCAACGAGCGCAACCCACGUCUUUAGUUGCCAGCAUUCAGUUGGGCACUCUAGAGAGACCGCCGGUGAUAAACCGGAGGAAGGUGUGGAUGACGUCAAGUCAUCAUGCCCCUUACAUCCUGGGCUACACACGUACUACAAUGCUACGGACAAAGGGCAGCAAGCUCGCGAGAGCAAGCAAAUCCCAUAAACCGUGGCUCAGUUCAGAUCGUAGGCUGCAACUCGCCUACGUGAAGGAGGAAUCGCUAGUAAUCGCAGGUCAGCAUACUGCGGUGAAUACGUUCCCGGGCCUUGUACACACCGCCCGUCGCACCAUGGAAGUUGGCCACGCCCGAAGUCGUUACUCCAACCCUUGUGGAGGAGGACGCCGAAGGUGGGGCUGAUGACUGGGGUGAAGUCGUAACAAGGUAACC
Molecule: ribosomal RNA, 1446 nt
Filed under: uncultured bacterium
Lineage: Bacteria
Description: bacterial SSU rRNA
Rfam family: Bacterial small subunit ribosomal RNA
Source: RNAcentral